CAGCCGCCGCGGUAAUACGUAGGUGGCAAGCGUUGUCCGGAAUUAUUGGGCGUAAAGCGCGCGCAGGUGGUUUAAUAAGUCUGAUGUGAAAGCCCACGGCUCAACCGUGGAGGGUCAUUGGAAACUGUUAAACUUGAGUGCAGGAGAGAAAAGUGGAAUUCCUAGUGUAGUGGUGAAAUGCGUAGAGAUUAGGAGGAACACCAGUGGCGAAGGCGGCUUUUUGGCCUGUAACUGACACUGAGGCGCGAAAGCGUGGGGAGCAAACAGGAUUAGAUACCCCCGUAGUCCCUGUCUCUUAUAC
This 301-nucleotide ribosomal RNA is filed under the name uncultured bacterium. Its description in RNAcentral is "partial 16S ribosomal RNA". It matches the Rfam family "Bacterial small subunit ribosomal RNA", at positions 509 to 807 of the family's 1533-position model. The record is from RNAcentral.